GAUGAACGCUGGCGGCGUGCCUAAUACAUGCAAGUAGAACGCUGAAGGAAGGAGCUUGCUCUUUCCGGAUGAGUUGCGAACGGGUGAGUAACGCGUAGGUAACCUGCCUGGUAGCGGGGGAUAACUAUUGGAAACGAUAGCUAAUACCGCAUAACAGUAGAUGUUGCAUGAUAUCUACUUAAAAGGUGCAAUUGCACCACUACCAGAUGGACCUGCGUUGUAUUAGCUAGUUGGUGAGGUAACGGCUCACCAAGGCGACGAUACAUAGCCGACCUGAGAGGGGGAUCGGCCACACUGGGACUGAGACACGGCCCAGACUCCUACGGGAGGCAGCAGUAGGGAAACUUCGGCAAUGGACGGAAGUCUGACCGAGCAAAGCCGCGUGAGUGAAGAAGGUUUUCGGAUCGGAAAGCUCUGUUGUAAGAGAAGAACGAGUGUGAGAGUGGAAAGUUCACACUGUGACGGUAUCUUACCAGAAAGGGACGGCUAACUACGUG
Molecule: ribosomal RNA, 497 nt
Filed under: uncultured bacterium
Lineage: Bacteria
Description: partial 16S ribosomal RNA
Rfam family: Bacterial small subunit ribosomal RNA
Source: RNAcentral